AUUGAACGCUGGCGGCAGGCCUAACACAUGCAAGUCGAACGGUAACAGGAAGAAGCUUGCUUAUUUGCUGACGAGUGGCGGACGGGUGAGUAAUGUCUGGGAAACUGCCUGAUGGAGGGGGAUAACUACUGGAAACGGUAGCUAAUACCGCAUAACGUCGCAAGACCAAAGAGGGGGACCUUCGGGCCUCUUGGCAUCGGAUGUGCCCAGAUGGGAUUAGCGAGUAGGUGGGGUAACGGCUCACCUAGGCGACGAUCCCUAGCUGGUCUGAGAGGAUGACCCGCCCCACUGGAACUGAGCCACGGUCCAGACUCCUACGGGCGGCAGCGGUGGGGAAUAUUGCACAAUGGGCGCAAUCCUGCUGCAGCCAUGCCGCCUGUAUGAAGAAGGCCUUCGGGUUGUAAAGUACUUUCCGCGGUGAGGAAGGGAGUAAAGUUAAUACCUUUGCUCAUUGACGUUACCCGCAGAAGAAGCACCAGCUAACUCCGUG
This 490-nucleotide ribosomal RNA is filed under the name uncultured bacterium. Its description in RNAcentral is "partial 16S ribosomal RNA". It matches the Rfam family "Bacterial small subunit ribosomal RNA", at positions 30 to 507 of the family's 1533-position model. The record is from RNAcentral.